Molecule: unclassified non-coding RNA, 378 nt
Filed under: plant metagenome
Description: partial contains 5.8S ribosomal RNA, internal transcribed spacer 2, and large subunit ribosomal RNA
Rfam family: 5.8S ribosomal RNA (bases 1-105)
Source: RNAcentral
GAAAUGCGAUAAGUAAUGUGAAUUGCAGAAUUCAGUGAAUCAUCGAAUCUUUGAACGCACCUUGCGCUCCUUGGUAUUCCUUGGAGCAUGCCUGUUUGAGUAUCAUGAAAUCUUCAAAGUAAAUCUUUUGUUAACUCAAUUGGUUUCUACUUUGGUAUUGGAGGUCUUUGCAGCUUCACACCUGCUCCUCUUUGUUCAUUAGCUGGAUCUCAGUGUUAUGCUUGGUUCCACUCGGCGUGAUAAGUUAUCUAUCGCUGAGGACACUGUAAAAGGUGGCCAAGGUAAAUGCAGAUGAACCGCUUCUAAUAGUCCAUUAACUUGGACAAUACUUUUAUGAUCUGAUCUCAAAUCAGGUAGGACUACCCGCUGAACUUAAGC